GGUCCAAAUGGCUCUUUGGGUCUUAAAGGUUGCUGACCCCUGGCCUAGGCACUACAGUUCACACUAGUGAUGGCCCGCUUGAAGCUGACACUCCGGCACGUGUGUCAAAAGAAACCAACACGCUGCUUCAGAAGCACUGUGUGGAGGCUUGAUUCGUUUGGCCAGAGUCACAUGAUCAGUGACGUCCGAAGCUUCAUUUGGAAUGUAACUGCUUUGGUACCUGAGUCAAUCAUUUAUAAGUAAGUGAAUAAUCAUUUGUGGCAUUUGUGGAGUGUUUGAUGGUGAGAGAUAGCAAACCACUGAUCAUUCUAUUGAGUGAUAUGGAGCCAGUGAGGAAGAGAGGAGUUUCUGUCAUGUGGGAGUAUUUUGAGUUGAUUUUGGUCAAUCAGGUGAUAGUUUGUGGGACCCAGGAAGACCGGAUACCUGCAUGUCUACCAACUUGCAUUGCAGUUUCUGUGCAAUGCCACCUCUUCUGUUCCGUGUGAGAGGAUUUUCUCUAAGGCAGGAGAAAUUAUCUCCAAGAAAACAGACUCGGCCAUCGCACAGUGGAACAAAUUCUCUUCUUAAAUAAAAACCAAACAGGAUAA
Molecule: long non-coding RNA, 587 nt
Organism: Oreochromis niloticus (Nile tilapia)
Lineage: Eukaryota; Metazoa; Chordata; Actinopteri; Cichliformes; Cichlidae
Exons: 2
Source: RefSeq, a predicted model, not a curated record